UCCGCGCUGAUGGUGCGGCUGUUUGGACUACAUUUCCCAUCAGCCCUUUCGCAGCACCGCGAGAGCUCCGGCGAGACCGCGGAGACGACCUGCGCUCGGGCGCGGCUCCGCCCUCCUUUCGAGAACCGCCGCGUGGCUGGAGUCAUGGCGGCCUCAGCGGUGUCCGAGAAAGGCCGGCAAACUCCUGCCUUUGGCGGCGGCCGUUGUGUGGCAUCUGCGGCAACGGUGAGACGCAGACCUGCAGGUUGAACCUUAAAAGUGACGAAUGGAGCCUUGAAAUUAAAGAUGUUGGCUCUAGACUUGAAAAAAGACCCAUGAAAACCGUCAUCCGAAAACGGUACAGUGUCAGCCUCAGUUUGAGGCCGAAAAGGAAGCCCGGAAGAAGACGCUGGCAGCAGUACCCCGCUGGCUGCCCUGGACCCAAGGCAGAAUUUCCCUUGUGUCUGCAGUGUGAGGCAGAACGGUUUUGCCUGGAGCAAGUGAAACGAUUCCUCUCCUGCUGUUACUAGUUAUCUCCCUGUGAUGCCAGACGGGAUCAGCACAGCCCCAGGAGCUAGUUGCUACUGCCUAUAAGAUACCCUCCCCCACCAAAGAGAAUCAUUUAAGGGUUUAGGAGUUGCUGUUGUGGCCCAGUGGGCUAAGAACCUGACAUAGUCUCUGUGAGGAUUCGAGUUUGAUCCCUGGCCUUGCUCAGUGGCUGGGCAUCCAGUGUUGCCCUCAUCUGUGGUGUAGGUUGUGGGUAAGGCUUGGGUCUGGCGUGGCUGUGGCUGUGGCGUGGGCUGGAGCCUCCAAUUCGACCCUUAGCCUGGGAGCUUCUGUGUGCUGUGGGUGCGACCCUAGACAGAACAUAAGAGUUACUUGAACUUCAUCUUUGGGAGUAGUCAGAGACAUUUUAUCUCGGAAGAUCUUGGGCAGUUAGUGAAAUUAGGUAGAACUAAGAACAUUCAGAACAACAUGGUUUAGGUGUGUUGAGGUACAGCUCGCGGUGCUGGGACUGCAGCGGUGGUGAAGCGAAGGGAUUGUGAGAUCAACGUGUUGGGGGGGGGGAGACUAAAGGGAAACAGGUGUUUAGCUGGAGAACGCGCUCCGUGGAUUUCCUAUCAAGUCAGUGGUCUUGGGUUUAACUUUGAAACAAAUAAAAAUUUUUAAAAACUGAGUUAAGAGCA
RNAcentral lists this long non-coding RNA (1166 nucleotides) under Sus scrofa (pig). Its description in RNAcentral is "lncRNA (ENSSSCG00070019912.1)". The record is from RNAcentral. Lineage: Eukaryota; Metazoa; Chordata; Mammalia; Artiodactyla; Suidae.